This 1784-nucleotide ribosomal RNA is filed under the name Salmonella enterica subsp. enterica serovar Paratyphi A. The record is from RNAcentral. Lineage: Bacteria; Pseudomonadati; Pseudomonadota; Gammaproteobacteria; Enterobacterales; Enterobacteriaceae.
ACGGAGAAGGCUAUGUUGGCCGGGCGACGGUUGUCCCGGUUUAAGCGUGUAGGUGUGUGUUCCAGGUAAAUCCGGUUCACUUUAACACUGAGGCGUGACGACGAGGCACUACGGUGCUGAAGCAACAAAUGCCCUGCUUCCAGGAAAAGCCUCUAAGCAUCAGGUAACAUCAAAUCGUACCCCAAACCGACACAGGUGGUCAGGUAGAGAAUACCAAGGCGCUUGAGAGAACUCGGGUGAAGGAACUAGGCAAAAUGGUGCCGUAACUUCGGGAGAAGGCACGCUGACACGUAGGUGAAGUGAUUUACUCAUGGAGCUGAAGUCAGUCGAAGAUACCAGCUGGCUGCAACUGUUUAUUAAAAACACAGCACUGUGCAAACACGAAAGUGGACGUAUACGGUGUGACGCCUGCCCGGUGCCGGAAGGUUAAUUGAUGGGGUCAGCGCAAGCGAAGCUCCUGAUCGAAGCCCCGGUAAACGGCGGCCGUAACUAUAACGGUCCUAAGGUAGCGAAAUUCCUUGUCGGGUAAGUUCCGACCUGCACGAAUGGCGUAAUGAUGGCCAGGCUGUCUCCACCCGAGACUCAGUGAAAUUGAACUCGCUGUGAAGAUGCAGUGUACCCGCGGCAAGACGGAAAGACCCCGUGAACCUUUACUAUAGCUUGACACUGAACAUUGAGCCUUGAUGUGUAGGAUAGGUGGGAGGCUUUGAAGUGUGGACGCCAGUCUGCAUGGAGCCGACCUUGAAAUACCACCCUUUAAUGUUUGAUGUUCUAACGUGGACCCGUUACCCGGGUUGCGGACAGUGUCUGGUGGGUAGUUUGACUGGGGCGGUCUCCUCCUAAAGAGUAACGGAGGAGCACGAAGGUUGGCUAAUCCUGGUCGGACAUCAGGAGGUUAGUGCAAUGGCAUAAGCCAGCUUGACUGCGAGCGUGACGGCGCGAGCAGGUGCGAAAGCAGGUCAUAGUGAUCCGGUGGUUCUGAAUGGAAGGGCCAUCGCUCAACGGAUAAAAGGUACUCCGGGGAUAACAGGCUGAUACCGCCCAAGAGUUCAUAUCGACGGCGGUGUUUGGCACCUCGAUGUCGGCUCAUCACAUCCUGGGGCUGAAGUAGGUCCCAAGGGUAUGGCUGUUCGCCAUUUAAAGUGGUACGCGAGCUGGGUUUAGAACGUCGUGAGACAGUUCGGUCCCUAUCUGCCGUGGGCGCUGGAGAACUGAGGGGGGCUGCUCCUAGUACGAGAGGACCGGAGUGGACGCAUCACUGGUGUUCGGGUUGUCAUGCCAAUGGCACUGCCCGGUAGCUAAAUGCGGAAGAGAUAAGUGCUGAAAGCAUCUAAGCACGAAACUUGCCCCGAGAUGAGUUCUCCCUGAGACUUUAGGUCUCCUGAAGGAACGUUGAAGACGACGACGUUGAUAGGCCGGGUGUGUAAGCGCAGCGAUGCGUUGAGCUAACCGGUACUAAUGAACCGUGAGGCUUAACCUUACAACGCCGAAGAUGUUUUGGCGGAUGAGAGACGAUUUUCAGCACUGAUUCNNNNNNNNNNNNNNNNNNNNGGAUGAGAGACGAUUUUCAGCACUGAUUCAGAUUACAUCAGAACGUAAAAACGGUCUGAUAACAGAAUUUGCCUGGCGGCAGUAGCGCGGUGGUCCCACCUNNNNNNNNNNNNNNNNNNNNUAGCGCGGUGGUCCCACCUGACCCCAUGCCGAACUCAGAAGUGAAACGCCGUAGCGCCGAUGGUAGUGUGGGGUCUCCCCAUGCGAGAGUAGGGAACUGCCAGGCAUCAAAU